Molecule: small nuclear RNA, 64 nt
Organism: Microcebus murinus (gray mouse lemur)
Lineage: Eukaryota; Metazoa; Chordata; Mammalia; Primates; Cheirogaleidae
Gene: U7
Rfam family: U7 small nuclear RNA
About the family: Animal histone pre-mRNAs are spliced by a different mechanism than nuclear pre-mRNAs and self-splicing introns. This processing involves the U7 snRNP, which contains only one RNA species: U7.
Source: Ensembl
GAGUGUUACAGCUCUUUUAGAAUUUUUCUUGCAGGUUUUUCGGUUCUCACUGGAAGACGCCCCC